RNAcentral lists this ribosomal RNA (304 nucleotides) under uncultured bacterium. RNAcentral's name for it is "partial 16S ribosomal RNA". It matches the Rfam family "Bacterial small subunit ribosomal RNA", at positions 506 to 807 of the family's 1533-position model. The record is from RNAcentral.
CAGCAGUCGCCACGGUAAUACGAAGGGGGCUAGCGUUGCUCGGAAUGACUGGGCGUAAAGGGCGCGUAGGCGGUUUGUACAGUUGGAUGUGAAAUUCCUGGGCUUAACCUGGGGGCUGCAUUCAAUACGUGCAGGCUUGAGUGGGGAAGAGGGUCGUGGAAUUCCCAGUGUAGAGGUGAAAUUCGUAGAUAUUGGGAAGAACACCGGUGGCGAAGGCGGCGACCUGGCCCUUGACUGACGCUGAGGCGCGAAAGCGUGGGGAGCAAACAGGAUUAGAUACCCGGGUAGUCCCUGUCUCUUAUAC